Perca flavescens (yellow perch) is the source of this 467-nucleotide long non-coding RNA. RefSeq lists it as uncharacterized. The transcript has 3 exons. NCBI's taxonomy places the organism in Eukaryota, Metazoa, Chordata, Actinopteri, Perciformes, Percidae. The record is from RefSeq and is a predicted model, not a curated record.
UUGUGUCACUAACACAUGCUGUACACACACCUUUCAGCCCACCGUGUCAUUGGAAUAGAUGGCAGUGAUCAGUCUACAGCUUUGUCAGAGGAAGGUGGGAGUGUCGAGCCAGCUGACAUAAACACACAGGUAUUUGAGGAAAGUGUGUUCAGAUUGGACUGCAUAGAGAAGCUCUCCCCAGUCAUGUCAUCUGAACAGCGCCACUCCUCGGACAACCUUUAGCAGAAUUUUAUUCUGUUGAAGUCAUCCUGCCUGAGUCCGAAGUUUAGCAGCCUAGCAACAGUUUGGACCACCACAGUUCUUGCUGAUCCUCAGAAAGACAUGGCCCUGUGAGGAAUGCAGACAAAGACGUGAUCAGGCCAACUGUGUGCACUGUUGAAGCUAGUGAAUCCCUUGUCAGAUGUGCUGAUGGAGGCAAUGCAGAAAAAUGGAACUGUUUAACUAAUAAUAUCUAGAGUUUUCAUGUU